CCUACGGGCGGCAGCAGUGGGGAAUCUUGCGCAAUGGGCGAAAGCCUGACGCAGCGACGCCGCGUGGGUGACGAAGGCCUUCGGGUUGUAAAGCCCUGUGGGGAGAGACGAACUGGCUCAUGGCUAACAUCCAUGGGUCUUGACGGUAUCUCUUUAGCAAGCAUCGGCUAACUCUGUGCCAGCAGCCGCGGUAAGACAGAGGAUGCAAACGUUGCUCGGAAUUACUGGGCGUAAAGCGCGCGCAGGUGGUUUUGUAAGUCGGGUGUGAAAUCCCGGGGCUCAACCUCGGACGUGCACUCGAUACUGCUGAACUUGAGUACUGGAGAGGAUCGCGGAAUUCCCGGUGUAGAGGUGAAAUUCGUAGAUAUCGGGAGGAACACCAGUGGCGAAGGCGGCGAUCUGGACAGAUACUGACACUGAGGCGCGAAAGCGUGGGAAGCAAACAGGAUUAGAUACCCCUGUAGUC
This 466-nucleotide ribosomal RNA is filed under the name uncultured delta proteobacterium. RNAcentral's name for it is "bacterial SSU rRNA". It matches the Rfam family "Bacterial small subunit ribosomal RNA", at positions 338 to 795 of the family's 1533-position model. The record is from RNAcentral. Lineage: Bacteria; Deltaproteobacteria.